GCUAAUGCCUUACAGAACUCAUUACUUGAUUAAGGACUCUUUAAUAUCCACAGUGCUGGAAAACACUUCCUGGAAUGCAGCUGGGAUCUGCCAGUUCAUACACAGCCAUACACUCCCUCACACCUCCCUUCAGAAACCUUAAACACCCUGCCAGCCACCAUUAAUUAAGAUCCCCUCACCAGGUAAAUGCCCCAUCCUCCUGACCACAGCUCCCCUUCUCCAUCCAAACCUGGCACCUGCUCAGCCACAUCUAGGCUCCCUCCCUGCCUGUCCGAGAGCCCAAGCCCUGGAGACUCUUCUGCAACAGCUGAGAACUCCUGCUCCUGAGGUUAGAGAGGAAUGGUCCACGUUCCCUGCAACCAGCUGACAGGAAGCAGUUGGACACCUCAAAGGAAGAGGAGGAGGAUCUCAGGAAUAUUUGGAAGUCUGAUGUUUUGAUGUCUUGUCUAAAGCAGCACCAUGCUGAGAGGACUGCACAGGGGUCAGAAAAAUGAGAUGUAGCAAAAGCACUGAUGAAAAACAAGAAUCAGUCCAGGAAUUAGAUCCUUUUCAUCUUUCCAAGCUGAAGCAUAUCCAUCUCCCUUUCUUAAGGCACUGUCCUUCCCCUCCUCUCCCUGCAGCAGUAGCUGCCUGUGGUACACUGCAAUGUUGGCUCACUUCCACAAGUCAGCAUGUCUGAGAGAGAGUCUGGGAUGAGGCAGGGGGAGGAGGGAGUGACAAAGCUGGGGCAACAGAAAAGAAACUCAGGAGCCACCUGCCUGCUUACAGCUAACAUCAAUACCCUGGAAACAGCUGCCCCAUGGAAGUGCUCCUGACUCCUGAGGUGAUGCUUUCACAGAGGCAGUGUGUGUUCAUCCAGUCUCAUUCUCCUGGAUGUGACCCACCAGGGAAACAGGAAAACAUCCCUGCACUGAAGCCAUGUUAACAGGAAAACAGAUUGUCCAAGCAUGCAGCUGCUGCUCCCUCCACAGAGCUGCUCCAACACUUCACAGCAGGCAGUGGCAAGGGAAGAAGGCACACAGCCAUGAUUCUCUUCCCUCUAGAUGGGAAGACAGAUCCCCAGGUGGAGACUGCAAGGGUAAGGGGAAUUUGCAGAUUUUGAACAUCUUGCCACACCCCAGAAGAUCUGGAUGACACCUGCUUAAUAUGCAGGAUUUUGUCCAAGACCUGUCAGGUGGUGGUAAUUUCAACUUCCACGGGCUAAUACUUCUCCCAUCGGCAAAAAUGCUUUCUGUUUAUUUAUAUAUGGCCAUAUAACACUUUCUCAAGCAGGGGCUGCUUUGAAAACCUUUAGAAACCGUCUCUUGAUCCAUCUUCACCAUUUCAUAACCAAGGGAGGGGGUCAUUUGUUUGUAAAUUUAGACACACGUUAGACCCUCCUGCCCCCCAUUAGUCUCUAAUGGGAGUUAGAAGGGCAGCUCAGAACCAGCAGGAGACCACCUCCAAAGAGCAUCCCAGUGUGCCUGCCACCACAGGCUUCUCCACCCCCAGUGCUCUGCUGCGGGUGAGGGAGGAGAACCCCUGAAGGUCUAGGGAAAGAACAUCAGGACAGUGAUACAUUGUUCUCAUCACACAGCUCUGCAGGGCAAGCUCAACCAGGUCAUCAAAUGCGAUCCCUUUCAAAACACUUCUUAAUACUAAAUGAUGAUAUCAACUAUUGCAGGAGCUGGAGACAUUUUUCAAACCUUAAUGCAUUAAAACUCAAAAUUCCUGAAGUCUCA
This is a long non-coding RNA of Vidua macroura (Pin-tailed whydah), 1721 nucleotides long. RefSeq lists it as uncharacterized. The record is from RefSeq and is a predicted model, not a curated record. The transcript has 3 exons. Lineage: Eukaryota; Metazoa; Chordata; Aves; Passeriformes; Viduidae.